RNAcentral lists this ribosomal RNA (272 nucleotides) under uncultured bacterium. Its description in RNAcentral is "partial small subunit ribosomal RNA". It matches the Rfam family "Bacterial small subunit ribosomal RNA", at positions 26 to 285 of the family's 1533-position model. The record is from RNAcentral.
AGAAUCAACGCUGGCGGCGUGCCUAACACAUGCAAGUCGAACGCGGAAGCCCCGCAAGGGGUAAGUAGAGUGGCAAACGGGUGAGUAACACGUGGGUGACCUGCCUUCGAGUGGGGGAUAACGUCCCGAAAGGGACGCUAAUACCGCAUGAUAUCCUGCCUUUGGAAAGGUGGAGAUCAAAGCUGGGGAUCGCAAGACCUGGCGCUUGAAGAGGGGCCCGCGCCUGAUUAGCUAGUUGGUGGGGUAACGGCUCACCAAGGCUACGAUCAGUA